UGGCAGAAUACUCUAGGCGGGGUCCC
Molecule: non-coding RNA, 26 nt
Filed under: Mus musculus (house mouse)
Lineage: Eukaryota; Metazoa; Chordata; Mammalia; Rodentia; Muridae
Source: RNAcentral